This 515-nucleotide ribosomal RNA is filed under the name uncultured bacterium. RNAcentral describes it as "partial 16S ribosomal RNA". It matches the Rfam family "Bacterial small subunit ribosomal RNA", at positions 28 to 523 of the family's 1533-position model. The record is from RNAcentral.
GAUGAACGCUGGCGGCGUGCCUAAUACAUGCAAGUCGAGCGAAUGGAUUAAGAGCUUGCUCUUAUGAAGUUAGCGGCGGACGGGUGAGUAACACGUGGGUAACCUGCCCAUAAGACUGGGAUAACUCCGGGAAACCGGGGCUAAUACCGGAUAACAUUUUGAACCGCAUGGUUCGAAAUUGAAAGGCUGCUUCGGCUGUCACUUAUGGAUGGACACGCGUCGCAUUAGCGAGUUGGUGAGGUAACGGCUCACCAAGGCAACGAUGCGUAGCCGACCUGAGAGGGUGAUCGGCCACACUGGGACUGAGACACGGCCCAGACUCCUACGGGAGGCAGCAGUAGGGAAUCUUCCGCAAUGGACGAAAGUCUGACGGAGCAACGCCGCGUGAGUGAUGAAGGCUUUCGGGUCGUAAAACUCUGUUGUUAGGGAAGAACAAGUGCUAGUUGAAUAAGCUGGCACCUUGACGGUACCUAACCAGAAAGCCACGGCUAACUACGUGCCAGCCGCCGCCGUAA